RNAcentral lists this ribosomal RNA (23 nucleotides) under Leptasterias aequalis. Its description in RNAcentral is "partial 16S ribosomal RNA". RNAcentral also lists the same sequence under 1 other name. Lineage: Eukaryota; Metazoa; Echinodermata; Asteroidea; Forcipulatida; Asteriidae. The record is from RNAcentral.
GUAGUUUUUUGAGGCACUUUUUU